UGCGAUUCGUCAACCUCGUCGCCUCGUUGGUUCGUCGGUUUGUGCCGAGCUAUGCUAAGGGACCUAUAAGCAAUUUUAUACGCCUACAAUGAUAAAAAUAGAAGAAUGUUUUGUAGAAUUUUUAAAAGUAAAUGAUACAUCUGGACAAAGACUUUUUGAAGAAUUGCAAAAUGUGCUAAAAACUCUUAAUCUUGAUAGUGAUAAUGUACGAGGUCAAGGGUAUGAUAAUGAAUCUAAAUGAAAGGGAGACACUAAGGUGUACAAAAAAAUUACUUGAUAUAAAUCCUAGAGCAUUAUACAUGCCUUAUGGUUGUCAUAGUCGUAAUUUAACACUUUGUGAUAUGGAAAAUUAUUGUGGUAAAGAAAAAUACUUUUUCAGAGUGAUAUAAUGCAUUUAUACAUUAUUUUCUCACUCAACAAAGCGAUGAUAAAUUUUGAUAAAUAAUAUAAAAGGUUUAACUGUGAAGCCAUUGUCGGCUACACGUUGGGAAAGCCAUAUUAAAAGCAUUAAAGCAAUUAGAUUCCAAACGCUUGUAAUAAGAGAAGCACUACUUCAGUUAGCAGAAACUGAUAAUGGCUCCAAAAUAAGAAGUGAAGCAGAUUCUUUAGCAACACAUGGAAAUGGAAAUUUUAAAUUUUUAUUAAGUAUGAUUAUUUGGUACAAUAUAUUGUUUGCUGUUAACUUAAUUUGCAAAUCUUUACAAUCUAAGGACAUGUUUAUUGAUAUUGCUAUAGAUCAAGUAAAUAGAUUGAUUAGGUUUUUUGAGGGUUAUAGAGAAGUUGGGCUCACACAAGCUAUGACAAUUGCUAAAAAAAUUGCUACUGAAAUAGAAAUUGAUUCUGUAUUUUAAGUAAAACGUCAAAUCUGUAGAAAAAGACAAUUUGAUGAGAAUGUUAAUGAGGAGAUAACACAAUCAACUGAAGAAUCUUUUAGAAUUAAUUAUUUUUUGUAUAUUGUAGAUCAAGCUAUUGGUUCACUAAAGAAAAGGUUUGAGAAAUAUAAAGCAUAUUAAGAUAUUUUUGGAUUUUUGUUUUGUUCAGAAAAGUUAAAUUCAUUAGAUGAUAAUAAUUUAAAAGCAGGUUGUGAUAAUCUUGAAAUUUUUCUAAAAUAUAAAUAUUUUCUGAUCAUGAUGGGAAAGGUUUAUUUGGAGAACUAAAAAUCUUACGAAAUAUUUUACCGAAAGAAACAAAGAUGACUAUUGAUAUACUGAAUUUCUUAAAAACCAUCAAAAUUUUUUUAUCAACAUAUCUAAUUUUUAUUAUGUAUUUUUUAUUAGUUUGGCGCUUAUUCUUAUCAACUAAUGAAACACCUAGGGUUUGAUAUAUAAUAUGUUUUUCGUCUUUUUUCAUAGAUAGACGAAUUUGUUUGAUAAUAAAUAUUCUUUUUUUUAUUAAUUUAGCAGGCGUUCUUCGUUCCUUUUUUUUGAAGUCCACAUGUAAGUUCCAAGGUUCCCGUGAAGUCAAGGUCGGAGACAGAAGUUACUACAAAAUUAUUUUCUAAAUGCAUGUAUUGCUUAUAGAAUAUUAUUGACUAUACAUGUUUCAGUUGUAUCUGCAGAAAGAAGUUUUUCAAAAUUAAAAUUAUUAAAAACUUAUCCGAGAUCGACAAUGUCACAAGAAAAACUAAGUGGACGAGCUUUGAUAUCCAUUGAAAAUGAUUUUAUAGAUAAAAUUGAUGUUAAAGGCUUAAUUAGUGAUUUUGCAGCUAAAAAUACAAGGAGGACAAUUUUUCGAUGAUACUUUUUGAUGCUAAAGGCAUUGAUAUUUGAUGAAGGUGACCAAAGAGAUGAAUAAUGGAUAAUAGCACUUGAGAAGUAUGUUAAAGACUAUCCAGAUGCAAAAAAACUAGAGAUCUCCACAUCUUCAUCAACUCAAAGAAGACGAUGCGAGCUAGCAAGAAGUCCACAACUUUCGCUCCAAUUUUGAAGGAUUCGUCUGCGGUAGCCGGCGGCGAGUGGGAGGUCCGACCGUCGACCUAAUUCUCUUUCAUUAAUCAAGAAAUGGGGAUUUAUAUGUACCCUCAAUUCCGCGGUGAAAUGGAAUAGCAAUGUGAAUAAGAAAAUAAAAAGUUUGUUGGUGCAUUAAGACUUGUUAACAAAUAAUUAUCUUUGUUGGAGUCCUUUAGCUUUAUAAUUUUCCAAACUGAUGACAAGGUUUCAUUUGCACUGA
Molecule: long non-coding RNA, 2169 nt
Organism: Asparagus officinalis (garden asparagus)
Lineage: Eukaryota; Viridiplantae; Streptophyta; Magnoliopsida; Asparagales; Asparagaceae
Exons: 3
Source: RefSeq, a predicted model, not a curated record